CCUUUAUUUCUUGUCAAUUUGUAACCUCACGUGGGAUGAUUACUUCCAUUCAACCUUCUGGUUGUUUUCCGUUACAAUUAUACUUCUUUAUUGCUUAGGAACAAGAGUGUGCUUUAAAUAGUGCACUUUUUUUUUUAAGAAUAACUACUGUAGCAGGGUUUUGUUGUUGCUAGAAUGCUAGGAUUAAAUAACUUUGUAUUCUAGUCGUUGUUAGGACUCACUGUAUUUUAGUUGUUUUUAAGACUCACUCUAUAAAUAGCAUGUGUUCUCUAUUUUAUCACGGUGAGGAUUCAUAUUUUGUUGCCUGGUAUGCUGGAAAGUUCCAAGAGAGUUCUGCAAAACUCAUGUUAGAAUCAUUCCAAUACCAUCGUAGUUUUCCCUUUUCGAAUUUCCUUUAGUUGAACGUCUUGCUUGAUAUUUUAAUUUGAAGUACUUGGUUCAGUUUUCCUUUUGAAACAAAAGUUGAAAGUAUUUUCCUUUCCUUCUUGUUCAUCUCUAGGUGACAUUUUUAUUGCUAUCUUUUUGCACUUGAAAGGUGAUCCAGCCUGAGCAUGAAGCGGAAAUAUCUAAAGAAGGAGCAUGAAAGAUCGUCGCCGUGAGGUACGGCUGGCAUGAUUCAUCCUCAAUUGCAACAUCCUUUCGAAGUAGAAUUCUACCCAUAGGCAAAGAAAUGAAUGCGGAGGAAACAGACCCACCUAACUUAUAGGUCCCUGGUUGAUAAAAUGAUAAAGCGAUGUUGUGCUCCUCCAGGCCUCUUCAGCGCCGAGCAACCUAACCAUCUCGGCUAGCCGUCUGCCAUCAGCAUGCCCCGCUCCUCCUCGGUUCCUCAAGAUCAUUGCCUGCGUCCAUAACCAUGGCCAGCCAUUGCCUACAGUUUAAGCUUUGCACACGAAAUCUGCACAUAGUUUAUUUGUAGCAGGCCUUGAUGGUUUGUUUCCCUUUUAGAUCUGUUGAGGAGUGGAAAAUGGAAGGGUUUUUUACAAUGUGCAGAAGCUUCGGAUAUUCUUCGGUGAGAGGAAACCCAGCGUAUCUUCUGUGGUUGAUGUCUGUACACCCCUUUUUUUGUAUACUGAUGUUACUUCAGUUUUAGUUGACCGAUUUGUUUUGAAUCAGCCAGUUCUGUCUAAUAUUAACAUAGAGCAGGCAUUAUCUUCGA
Long non-coding RNA from Lolium perenne, 1156 nucleotides. RefSeq lists it as uncharacterized. The record is from RefSeq and is a predicted model, not a curated record. Lineage: Eukaryota; Viridiplantae; Streptophyta; Magnoliopsida; Poales; Poaceae.